AGCGCCUCUUAGCCUCCUUGUCUAAGCCCGCUUGCGGCGCGUAAGCGCUGAUGAAGUUGAGGACGCAACCCCCAAUAACCAACUUAAUAGACAUUAAUCUAUCAUUCACUCGCCUAACCUCGACCACGGACUCCCUUAGAUCCCUAUCUACCANNNNNNNNNNNNNNNNUAAUUGACAUUAACCUAUCAUUCACUCGCCUAACCUCGACCACAGACUCCCUUAGGUCCCUAUCUACCAAGAUGCCCACUCCAUUCUUACCUCUCACGCUCCCAGAAUACCACAUCUUAAACCCGUCUACAUUCCUCGCCUUCGUCCCUUUCCACCUAGUCUCCUGGACACA
Molecule: long non-coding RNA, 341 nt
Filed under: Nicotiana benthamiana
Lineage: Eukaryota; Viridiplantae; Streptophyta; Magnoliopsida; Solanales; Solanaceae
Description: long non-coding RNA (NBEN_LNC015895)
Source: RNAcentral